Long non-coding RNA from Physella acuta, 279 nucleotides. RefSeq lists it as uncharacterized. Lineage: Eukaryota; Metazoa; Mollusca; Gastropoda; Physidae. The record is from RefSeq and is a predicted model, not a curated record.
AGUUUCAUUUUCAUUAUUGAUUUCUCCUAUGUUUGAAGAUUAUUUGAACAACUUUUGAAUAAUGCGUCCCACAUUACAAGUAUCUGUUGUUAGUGUACAGAUGCGAUAUCUGGAAGAGCAGAUACAAGUCAUGGAGCCUGUCAUUCAUGAUAUAAAAGAUGCCAUUGAGAAAAGCAGGUCGUGGCUAGAAGAUAAGGAAGGAAAAACCUCCCAAAGCUACAGUGAUGUAACUCAACAACUAGACCAUGCUAAUUUAGCUCUAUUGAGUCGUUCCUCCGA